UAUUGCACAAUGGGGGAAACCCUGAUGCAGCAACGCCGCGUGAAGGAAGACGGUUUUCGGAUUGUAAACUUCUGUUCUUAGUGAAGAUAGUGACGGUAGCUAAGGAGCAAGCCACGGCUAACUACGUGCCAGCAGCCGCGGUAAUACGUAGGGAGCGAGCGUUGUCCGGAUUUACUGGGUGUAAAGGGUGCGUAGGCGGGAUGGCAAGUCAGAUGUGAAAUACCGGGGCUUAACCCCGGGGCUGCAUUUGAAACUGUCGUUCUUGAGUGAAGUAGAGGCAGGCGGAAUUCCUAGUGUAGCGGUGAAAUGCGUAGAUAUUAGGAGGAACACCAGUGGCGAAGGCGGCCUGCUGGGCUUUAACUGACGCUGAGGCACGAAAGCAUGGGGAGCAAACA
RNAcentral lists this ribosomal RNA (395 nucleotides) under uncultured bacterium. Its description in RNAcentral is "bacterial SSU rRNA". It matches the Rfam family "Bacterial small subunit ribosomal RNA", at positions 362 to 774 of the family's 1533-position model. The record is from RNAcentral.